Molecule: ribosomal RNA, 303 nt
Filed under: uncultured bacterium
Lineage: Bacteria
Description: partial 16S ribosomal RNA
Rfam family: Bacterial small subunit ribosomal RNA
Source: RNAcentral
AGCAGUAGCCGCGGUAAUACGAAGGGGGCUAGCGUUGUUCGGAAUUACUGGGCGUAAAGCGCACGUAGGCGGAUAUUUAAGUCAGGGGUGAGAUCCCAGAGCUCAACUCUGGAACUGCCUUUGAUACUGGGUAUCUUGAGUAUGGAAGAGGUGAGUGGAAUUCCGAGUGUAGAGGUGAAAUUCGUAGAUAUUCGGAGGAACACCAGUGGCGAAGGCGGCUCACUGGUCCAUUACUGACGCUGAGGUGCGAAAGCGUGGGGAGCAAACAGGAUUAGAGACCCCUGUAGUCCCUGUCUCUUAUAC